RNAcentral lists this ribosomal RNA (467 nucleotides) under uncultured bacterium. RNAcentral's name for it is "partial 16S ribosomal RNA". It matches the Rfam family "Bacterial small subunit ribosomal RNA", at positions 28 to 507 of the family's 1533-position model. The record is from RNAcentral.
GACGAACGCUGGCGGCGUGCUUAACACGUGCAAGUCGAACGGAAAGGCCUCUUUCGGGGGGUACUCGAGUGGCGAACGGGUGAGUAACACGUGAGUAACCUGCCCUUGACUUUGGGAUAACUUCAGGAAACUGGGGCUAAUACCGGAUAGGAGCUCCUGCUGCAUGGUGGGGGUUGGAAAGUUUCGGCGGUUGGGGAUGGACUCGCGGCUUAUCAGCUUGUUGGUGGGGUAGUGGCUUACCAAGGCUUUGACGGGUAGCCGGCCUGAGAGGGUGACCGGCCACAUUGGGAAUGAGAUACGGCCCAGACUCCUACGGGAGGCGGCAGUGGGGAAUAUUGCACAAUGGGUGGAAGCCUGAUGCAGCAACGCCGUGUGCGGGAUGACGGCCUUCGGGUUGGAAACCGCUUUCGCUCAUGACGAAGCUUUGUGUGACGGUAGUGGGUAAAGAAGCACCGGCUAACUACGUG